CAUACCUAUUCGAAGGGAUAGGGUCGGUUUGGCCGGAUUUCACACAGGUGUUGCAUGGCUGUCGCCAGCUCGUGUCGUGAGAUGUUGGGUUAAGUCCCGCAACGAGCGCAACCCUCAUCCUUAGUUGCCAUCAGGUAAUGCUGAGUACUUUAAGGAAACUGCCAGUGAUAAGCUGGAGGAAGGUGGGGUUGAUGUCAAGUCAUCAUGGCCUUUAUGGAGUGGGCUACACACGUGCUACAAUGGUGUCUACAAUGGGUUGCAAGGUGCGCAAGCCUAAGCUAAUCCCUAAAAGACAUCUCAGUUCGGAUUGUACUCUGCAACUCGAGUACAUGAAGUUGGAAUCGCUAGUAAUCGUGGAUCAGCAUGCCACGGUGAAUACGUUCUCGGGUCUUGUACACACUGCCCGUCACGCCAUGGGAAUUGGUUUCACUCGAAGCU
RNAcentral lists this ribosomal RNA (438 nucleotides) under Wolbachia endosymbiont of Aphis gossypii. RNAcentral describes it as "bacterial SSU rRNA". It matches the Rfam family "Bacterial small subunit ribosomal RNA", at positions 992 to 1428 of the family's 1533-position model. Lineage: Bacteria; Pseudomonadati; Pseudomonadota; Alphaproteobacteria; Rickettsiales; Anaplasmataceae. The record is from RNAcentral.